This 231-nucleotide unclassified non-coding RNA is filed under the name Glomeraceae sp. Its description in RNAcentral is "partial contains 5.8S ribosomal RNA and internal transcribed spacer 2". The stretch from base 1 to 71 matches the Rfam family "5.8S ribosomal RNA", at positions 84 to 154 of the family's 154-position model. The record is from RNAcentral. Lineage: Eukaryota; Fungi; Glomeromycota; Glomeromycetes; Glomerales; Glomeraceae.
GUGAAUCAUCGAAUUUUUGAACGCACAUUGCGCUUCCUGGUAUCCCGGGGAGCAUGCCUGUUUGAGGGUCAGUAUUAAUAACAAGUCGGGUUAGUUACAAAUUGUGUCGUUUCCGGAGUUUGGGCUAUCUUGACAUUUUGGGUUAAGAGGCUUAAAAUUGACCUUUGUUGCGCAUUUUUAAACGUACACAAUUUUAUUUUAUUCGUCGAUUCUUAAUGCCCAAUUCUUAUU